AUGUUAUCCUUGAAUGUUAGAAUUUUGUUAGAACCAAAGUAUCAAAGUAUGAUGUUACAUGACCUCGUAUCGAAGUAUCAAGCUGCAAGUUAUAGUAUGUUUGUUAACAAUUGGUUGGAAACAGAACAACGCUACUUGGUUUACAUUGGCAUCACUGAAUCACAUCAUUUGUUUCACUGCUAUUCUUCAUUCUCAAGGCUGUUUUCUUUUGCCACCAUUAUUUUGCUGAAUUUUGUGCUCAUGGCCCACUACAAUUUUGAAGGGGCAAAAUUUAACGAUGAACCGAUUUGCUGCUCUCAGCUAGGAACCCAGGACACUGGUCUGACUGUGGGGUGUGGGCGGCUCGUAUCGAAUGAAUAUUUGAAAAGAAGUUCAGAUUGUGUAUAA
This 387-nucleotide ribosomal RNA is filed under the name Triticum aestivum (bread wheat). Its description in RNAcentral is "partial small subunit ribosomal RNA". The record is from RNAcentral. Lineage: Eukaryota; Viridiplantae; Streptophyta; Magnoliopsida; Poales; Poaceae.